Molecule: non-coding RNA, 461 nt
Organism: Cajanus cajan (pigeon pea)
Lineage: Eukaryota; Viridiplantae; Streptophyta; Magnoliopsida; Fabales; Fabaceae
Source: RefSeq, a predicted model, not a curated record
GUGAAGUCAACGGGUCAGGAGUUGGUCGAGAAUACUCACUGGGAGCCAGAAGUCACUAGUGCAAAAGUAAGAAUUUACGUCUGUAUUUUCUCGUCGGACCUAAACAUAUCCAACGUAGAAAAGACGCGGUGACAUUUUUGAAAAUAAUGCAAACUAUUUUAUGUCGGACUACAUAGGUCCGACGUAAAUUUAACAAUCUACGUCAGACAUCAGCUACAUCUGACUUAGAUUAUUGAAUUUAUGUCAGACCCUAUGUAGUCUGACGUAAAAGAGUUUUUUAUAUCCACUAGCCACGAAGCUGACGCUUGGGAGCACUCCAAUUUCCCCAUCAUCUGCGAAUCCUGCCUCGACGACAACCCCUAUGUUCGAAUGACAAGAGCAGAGUAUGACAAGGAGUGCAAAAUUUGUACAAGGCCUUUCACUGUUUUUAGAUGGAGACCUGGUCGAGAUGCAAGAUAUAA